Molecule: ribosomal RNA, 500 nt
Filed under: uncultured Glomeromycotina
Lineage: Eukaryota; Fungi; Glomeromycota
Description: partial small subunit ribosomal RNA
Rfam family: Eukaryotic small subunit ribosomal RNA
Source: RNAcentral
CCAAUAGCGUAUAUUAAAGUUGUUGCAGUUAAAAAGCUCGUAGUUGAAUUUCGGGGUCAGUAGGUCGGUCAUGCCACUGGUAUGCACUGGUCUCACUGAUUCCUCCUUCCUGAUGAACCGUAAUGCCAUUAAUUUGGUGUUGCGGGGAGACUGGACUGUUACUUUGAAAAAAUUAGAGUGUUUAAAGCAGGCUAACGCUUGAAUACAUUAGCAUGGAAUAACGGAAUAGGACGUUCGAUCUUAUUUUGUUGGUUUCUAAGAUUGACGUAAUGAUUAAUAGGGAUAGUUGGGGGCAUUAGUAUUCAAUUGUCAGAGGUGAAAUUCUUGGAUUUAUUGAAGACUAACUACUGCGAAAGCAUUUGCCAAGGAUGUUUUCAUUAAUCAAGAACGAAAGUUAGGGGAUCGAAGACGAUCAGAUACCGUCGUAGUCUUAACCAUAAACUAUGCCGACUAGGGAUCGGAUGAUGUUAAUUUUUUAAUGACUCAUUCGGCGCCUUACG